AGUGAACGCUGGCGGUAGGCCUAACACAUGCAAGUCGAACGGCAGCACAGGAGAGCUUGCUCUCUGGGCGGCGAGUGGCGGACGGGUGAGGAAUACAUCGGAAUCUGUCCAGUCGUGGGGGAUAACGUAGGGAAACUUACGCUAAUACCGCAUACGACCUUCGGGUGAAAGAGGGGGAUCGCAAGACCUCUCGCGAUUGGAUGAGCCGAUGUCGGAUUAGCUAGUUGGCGGGGUAAUGGCCCACCAAGGCGACGAUCCGUAGCUGGUCUGAGAGGAUGAUCAGCCACACUGGAACUGAGACACGGUCCAGACUCCUACGGGAGGCAGCAGUGGGGAAUAUUGGACAAUGGGCGCAAGCCUGAUCCAGCCAUACCGCGUGGGUGAAGAAGGCCUUCGGGUUGUAAAGCCCUUUUGUUGGGAAAGAAAUCUUUCAGGCUAAUACCCUGGGAGGAUGACGGUACCCAAAGAAUAAGCACCGGCUAACUUCGUG
This 490-nucleotide ribosomal RNA is filed under the name uncultured bacterium. Its description in RNAcentral is "partial 16S ribosomal RNA". It matches the Rfam family "Bacterial small subunit ribosomal RNA", at positions 29 to 507 of the family's 1533-position model. The record is from RNAcentral.